AAGAUUGGAUUUACUGUUGAGUUUUUGGGACCUAUUUCAAGAUUUCUUCAGUUCAGACCAAGAGAGCGGCCGAUUCUAGUGGUGACGAGAGCAAGCAGACCUGAACAAGUCAUAGGUGUGUGUUCGUGUUUUCCAACCAAGACGAUGAUUUAAUGACUCAAGAUUUAAGGAUGAAGUAGAUACAGAACAUAAACGGUCGCCAGCGUUCUUACACUAACAACAUCCAACUGAUUAAAAGAGGUUUAUGUUUGCGUCCCACCUGGUGAUGAUUUAUUUGACUCGGAACAUAAAACGGUCGCCGCCGUUCAUACAGUAACACUAACAACAUCAAACUGAUUUUAAAAAGUAAGAUCGGUCUUGGUCUUUGACUCAUCACCUCAUCUUUUGCUUGUCCGCUUCCAUUAAAAAAUCAGUGAAAUGCUAUGGUUUUAAGGACGAAGAAGGUUCAGGGCAAAGCAAUCAAAUGAUGUUCUUCUCAGAGCUGUUGGAUGGUUCGUGUGGCUCUUGAAGUAUUUGUCAAUUUAAGACCGAUAACAGUGUUACCACAAGUACAGUAUCUCUUUUAGGCAGAUCACUGCUUAUGAUCAUCCGGGAGCUUACUGGAGGUAUUUACAAUGCGCAUCCUCGGGGUUUUACCACAAAUGAACAAGGUGAGGAAGUUUGCUUUUGUACUGAGUCCUAUUCUGCAAGUGAGUAUCAGGAGAUGCCCAUUGGAAGAGCCGCUUUGGGAGUUUCCUUUCCGGAUUAUACCAUCAAUCAGAUGCAAUGCUCUUGGAGCCAUUGGAGGGUUUAGGGUACAAGUCGGAGAACAGUGAAAAGCAUCUGAGGCCUGAGAAGGGGUUACUCCAGCUUCGUGCAGCUCUUAAAAGUCUUUGCAAAUCUGAGACCUGCUACAGUUGUGUCACAGUUAAGUGGAUGCUUUCACCUUGAAGAGAGAGGUAGCAGAAGUUGUUGAUCUAGUGGAUGCUUACAUGAGGAGACAAAGAAAAAUUGCGUAUGCCAUGAACAAGCUUCUGCAAAAUGAGAUGAAUCGCCGAGCGACAAGUCUGCAAAAUCUUUUACUCGAGGCUUACUUGUGCUUGCAUUGCAUCUGGCUAUUUCGUCCCCUAGAAAUACCCUAAAUGAAUCUUCUUUAAAAUUUGAGAAUUGAACUUCGCUGCUGUAUUCAGGUAGACUCGUAGAGAUGUAAUAAGUCGUCUGAGUGUUAUUAUUAGAAGUUUAGAACAGAGACAAGGAGGAGUUCGAUUGUUAUGCCCAGUGGCAUAAAAUUAGGACUAGUGAGGCCCAAGUACAGAAGUCCAGUGGCAAAAUUAGUUAGUAAUGUUCCUUUUUAUUAUAGUGAUUUCCUUUUUUUCUUUUUUUCCGUUAGGUUGUUUAUUUUAAUUCGUAUUUCCUUUUUUAAAUAGUAAUCUCCUUUUUUAUAUAAUAUUAAAAAGGAUUUCCUUUUUGCGUUAGGGUUAUGUCCUUUUGUUUAUCUGUUUGACUGUUUAUAAAAACUUUUAUUACGCUCUUCACUUGGCUUUUUGAGAGAGAGCGAGCGAUAGAGAGCGAAAGCGAGAAAGAGAGUUCGAUUAUAAUGGCGACGAGGGAAAGAGAGGAAACAGACAUCAAGAAGUCAGAGAAGGUCUGUUCCAACCAGAAAGAGUGAGAUAGACAGGGAGCGAGCGAGAGAGAGGGUUCGAUUAUAAUGGCGACGAGCGAGAGCGAGAGAGAGAGAGAGAGAGAGAGAGAGAGAGAGAGAAGUCAGAGGUAUCGUUUCGUGUUUCCUUCUAAAACCCUAAGAUGAAUCGAUUUUGAUUUUCGUGGUGAAUGUUUUUUGCUGGAGGUAUCGUUUUUGUGUUCGUGUUCCAACCUUAAGGACGAUGAAGCAGUCGCCGGCGUUCUUACGGUAAAACAACAUCAAAACUAAUGGAUCAAAAAGGUGUUGUGUUCCUGUGUUCCAACCCCGACUGACGAUGGUUUAUUCGACUCUGUUUUUUUCUUGUCAGUCGCCUGGCGUUCUAACUGUGUGUGUGGUGUUCGUGUUCCAACCUGAAGGGCAAUUACUCACACUUUUUGGGAGGACCAAGUCGAUUCAGAACAUAAAAACGGUCGCCGGCGUUGUUACAGUAUCACUAACUGGUCGAUUAAAAAGGUCUGUGUUCGUGUUCUAACCAGGAAGAUGAUGUAUUUGACUCAGUUCGUAUCCCACAGAAGUUGACUAGUUGUUGAUGACUUGAUGCCAUGACUGACUGGACGAGAAGCUGCAUGCAGGGCCAUGAUGGCAAUUUCUCAAUAUUUGUUCCUUCCCUCUAUACCUGGAGGCUACAACUCAGAUCCAAGUUCUUCUCUGAUCCGCAAGUUAAUGACAGGUGAGAUGUUCCUUAUAUAAAGCCAGAACUAAGGUCUGUUUCUUACGGAUCCGACAUGAAGCCAGAACUAAGGUGUCUGCUACAUGUUCUUGAUCACACCUUCUUGCUUCCUCUACCAGCAACUCAGCUUCUCUCUCUUCUCCAUGGUGCAUGCUGGCCAUGGAGGAUACACAAGGAGCCAAGUGAAGAGCCCAGGAGUUUGUUCUGUUUACUGGUGGACUCGUGGUAGGAGGAUGCAGAGCCAAACUCAAAGGCCAAGGUGCAUGUUGGCCAUGGAGGAUACACAAGGAGCCAAGUGAAGAGCACUCAAAAAAAUUCAGCAUUUACUCUUCACUGGAGAGGUGAUAUUUCCAUGGAUGUUUGAUGAGAUUCAUGCCUUGAAGCCAUUCAAAGCUGCCGCUUUUCUCUUGGCCAGCCAAGGAGGAGGAUUUUGCCUCUCCAUUAUAUGAUUGUUGCUACAUUAAAAACUAAAAGGUGCAUGCUGGCCAUGGAAGAUACUCAAGGAGCCUAGUGACGACUGAAGAGCCUAGUAAAGACUGAAGAGCCCAGAUGCUUGUUCUGUUGACUGGUGGACUCAAGGAAGGAGGUUGCUUGAAGAGCAAACUCAAAGGCCAAGAUUGUACAUGAUGAGCUAGUGAGAUUCACGGCUGGAGGAGUAGUAUCUGAGCUACACUUUGCUAACUCAUGUCCUUAAGUAAUUUUGUUGGCUGCGCUCCAAGGAGUUGGAAAGACAAUGGUCUGCUUUAAAAUACCUUGUUACCUAAAGAAGCAGCAGGAGAAUUCAUGCAUGAUUAUAGCUGGAUAUGUAUAUUGACCUGGCUCACCCUGCACACAAAGGAGGCAAUAAGAUUACACUAUGGUGUGUUUUAGAAGCAAUUCCGACUUGUGGAGAGUUCUUCUUCUAGGGUUUGGUUUGGUUUGAAAGCAAAGUCUAUGAUCUGAGAUCAUCAUCGCUCGCUCCUACACUGCUUCUGAAUCUUCACUCCUCCUACGGAAUGGGAUCAUUGUCUCUUGUUGCUUGCAUUAGUGGUUAUUGACAACAGUCUUCCUGAUGUGUCGUCUCAGUCUGAUUUUGGAAACCAAACCAAUUAUUUGUUUUAAGCUUGCUUAUGGCCUGACGUGGUUACAUGUGGGGAAGAGUACAUUACUUAAUCACAACAUGAUGACAAAUUUGCAGAUUUCAUCAUCAAAGAGAGUGCCUCUUGUCACACCUGUUUGCGGAUCAGCUUCUGUUGGCAAGUCCACUAAUAGCUAGCUAGUAGCUACACAACUUGCUCAGAGACUAAACUUGCCAAACGUCUAACAGACGGACAUGGCAUAUGAGCUUCUUCGAACAGCAACUGAGUACGUUUUUUUCUCCUUUUUAAUGAUGGACAUACUAUGAAGAAGAUAUAUCCAAACAUGUGUGGAGUUCCCUUUGGAGUUGGGCUUCGACUUUCUCCCCUUACCUGAGCAGUAACCAAGAUUCCCAAGUUCCUACGAAAUACCAUCUCUAUGCCAUUGUGGAGCAUCUUGGGAUUAUAGCAUCUUUUGGUAAUUACUCCUCUUACGUGAGAUCAGCUAUGGUCCUGUUCAACUAUGUUAAUCUCUUGCUAUGAUUACAGAGUGGAAACAGAGGCUUGACUGGUUGGGAGCCCAUCCGUGUAUAUCCACAGGACACCUGAAGGACGUAUUUGAUGCAGAAGAUCGAAAGGAGAUGCUUACUUUCACCAGAACGAAGACAGUUCAUUGGGAUUACACGUUGAGAGAAAGAGUGUUUCAGAUCAUACCAGCUGAAGCUUCUAAGGUACUCAUCAAAUCAGUCCUUUGGAGUUGGACUUUGCUUCUUCCCUUACAUGAGCAAUAGUAACCAAGAUUCCCAAGUUUCUACAAAAUCCCAUUUUUCUGCCAUUGUGGAGCAUAUAUAUAUAGCAUCUUUUGUUCAUUACUCCUUUUAUGCGAGGUCAGCUCCUUAGUCCUUAGACAUGGCAUAAGGGAAGUCUGGUGCUAACGAAGUCAGCUUUCCCUUCUGGUACUAAAGCGCCUGCGGAUUAUGUUCACAGAAAGAGCCUUAAGCUCUGGAUUUACUCAGAUGCCGGCAGCACCAUGCCUGGUUCUUUAGGCCAUGAGGAGCAUAAUCCCAAUAUCUUUACAGAAUGGGUUGGGAAUGCACUUUCGGAUCCAUAUCUUCCAUCUGCAGCUGAAUUAAAUGGUUUAGCUGGGCCACGCAAUGGAAGUUCUGCUGCUGUGGAUCAGAUCACUUGUCACAGUUGCCAAAAAUGUGUUUUGAAAGCAAGUUUGUUAUGUGAUCAUCGCUCCCCCGGCCUCUGAAUUCAUACUUGUGGAAUUUUCAUCUAGGAUUUGGUUGUUUUACAUAUGGGGGAGUGCUGAGUUUGUAAGCCAUCAUCAAUCACUUCCUGCAAAAAUACAUAUUUGUUGCGUCAAGUUCAUAGAAUUAAAAAAAUGUGCGCAAUAAAUUAUUUGUGUUUUCAACCAACUCACACAUUACCUUCCUGACAACAUACUUACCAUCUAAGUCCCGUCUCAGUCUAAACCACCCACCAGCCGGUUGUGUAUUCCUUUCAGUUCUUUAAGAAAAUGCAGACUCAUAAAAGCGUCAGUUAUGCAGUAAUGUACGGAGUGAAUCAUGCUGAAAAUUUUGGCUCACCUUGCAUCAUCUAGCUUGAGAGCUAGCUAUAUGUUUCCAUGCAUUGAGGCAAAAUCAUUCUCCUCAUGCUUCUCAGCU
This is a non-coding RNA of Camelina sativa (false flax), 5076 nucleotides long. The record is from RefSeq and is a predicted model, not a curated record. Lineage: Eukaryota; Viridiplantae; Streptophyta; Magnoliopsida; Brassicales; Brassicaceae.